CCUCCACCCAAAGACACUGCCUCAUCUCUUCUUUGAUUCUCAUCUUAUCCCUUUCUCACGAAAGUGUUUACGUUCCUCGUAAGGAUAUUGCGUAAGGUGUUUUCUUCCCCCCGACUGCAACUGUGGUUUGUAUUUUUUUCUGACUCGAUCAAAUCUCUUCUUCAAAGUUGUUUGAUCACGCUCCAUUAGAGAAAAAGGUAAUUCCAACCCCCUUCCCAAGGUUCAAAGUUUAAUUGAGCUUAAAUAGAAUACAAUGAUGGGUUUGCU
Hibiscus syriacus is the source of this 267-nucleotide long non-coding RNA. RefSeq lists it as uncharacterized. Lineage: Eukaryota; Viridiplantae; Streptophyta; Magnoliopsida; Malvales; Malvaceae. The transcript is spliced from 4 exons. The record is from RefSeq and is a predicted model, not a curated record.